ACGGAGAUGAAUCCCCAGAAGACGAUCAGCAACAGAGAGAGGCCAAGUUCCGCAACUGUUAACAGAGACUCCAUUGCCGGUGCUCCCUAGAUUUUCAGAUCUGUUUUGCUUCACGAGGGGGAGAGAGAGAGAGAGAGAAGAAGGGAGGUGGAAUGAAUCCGUGAAGAAUAAGCAAAGAAAGCUUAAAGUUUUUAUUGAUUUAAUCCGUGAAGUGAGUGUAAAGGAUUUGAUUGAUUGAUUGUGAAGAUAAUUCAAACCCUAAUUCGAUUUUUGACUUUUGAGGUUAAAGACAUUUUGGUUUGACUUUCCCAAUUUAAGUUCUCUUCCGGUCGGUUCUUUUUUUAGCAAUGUUUACUUAACCGGAUUAAACCGAAAACACGUCCAUUUAACCGUAUUGAACUUGAAAAACCAAGUCCAAUAUGUGAUUAUUAUCGGUCUCUUAACAUCUGUGAUAGUCAUUAGCCUAUUCAGAUAUUUCGACUGAACCGGAAAUGAGAUGUCUUAGCACAUGUAAUUAGUGUAAGAAAUAGAUCAUAACAGUGAAACUUGCUUACAAGUUAAAAUAAACUCUCCCAAAAGACAAAAUCAUACAACGGUGGAAGUAAGAACUACUUGAGAAAGACUACAAGGGCCACAACAGCCACAACAGUUGUGGUGAUACCAAGCCAUUCCUUUCGCACUGACGAUUUGAUUUGUCUAAAACAAUGGGAAGUUUUGGGCUCGUCCAGUUUCCUAAAUCCAAAUGUUCUAAUUUCCUGUCCAAAAGAAGCUGAACCUCGAAUUGGGAGUAAAUUUUCGACAAAAGGAGCUAUAAUGCCACCAAAAGUACCUAUGCCACGGACUAAGCCCGUAUUUGAACAGUACUUAUGCAACUUCUUCUCUUGAUCAUAAAAGUAGAGAUUCCCUCCCUUGGAAACCGCCAGUGGCAUGCACCAAUGCCACCAGUGACUACAUCUAGAUAUGAAACUGCUACGGGUGGAAGAGGAUAAAUGAAAGGAGUAAGCGAUGCUCCAUGUUUCAUCUCGUGCAUCCAUUCUCCAUAUGCAAAACCCUAAAACCAGGCUCCCCAAUAUCCUUUGCGGCUACGACUAGACGGUCUUCGAGGUUAGCUAUCUGCCCUGACUUGCAGAACCGAGGCGGUGUCUUUACGCUACGAAACUCUUCAGUGUGCAGAUCCAACGCAAGUAUCUUCUGAGUCUUGUCAUAACAAUCUACUUCUAACCAGUAGAUGGAUCCAUUCACAAACGCCGACUUCAAUCUCUCUCCCACAUAGAAAAGAGGCUUACUCUUCAGUCUCCUCCAUACCCCAAUGUUAAUAUCAAGAAUCUCGCAGUAACUAUAGUUAGGCUCCAAGCACAUCCUCACUACCUUAUAGCUCCCGUUAACUAUGUCCCUACCGAAUCCCAUCCUCCAGUAUCCAGGAAACACUUCAAAACCCCUUCCUGCAAUUUCAAUUUUCUCCUCAAAUUAUCAAUUUUUUUACUUUGAUACAAGUCAAUUAUCAGAUUAUAUAGACUUACUGGAUACGUCGUCGAGGACGUUGGUUAUCUUCGGUGGAAGGAUUCAAAACGUUGAUCCAGCCUGGCACGGGCAUGCAAACCAGACCGUCACAGGACAGCGACGGUCGUCUGGAGAAACCACUGUCCUCCUCCUGCCCUUUGGGGAAAUCACAGUCUAGAUAGACCAUCUCGACCUCUUCGUCGUCGUCCUUCACAACCACCUCUGGAUUAAUGUUUAAGAGCAAAGCGGCGGCCACGAAUUGCAUCUUCGUUUGUUUUUUUUUGGAUAAUGAUACGCCUCCUCUCCGAGAAGCUCCUCGACUCCAGUAGUGAUCUCCACUGCUUUGAGACGGUUUUGAAUUUGAGGAUAGAUUCCAACGGAAGUCGAAGAAGAACUUCUUCCUCUAGAUCCAAACCUAGCUCUUUCAUCAUCGGAAGGAGAUGAUUUCUUCUCUCUUCUCACCCAAUCUCUCCUUUAACACACUAACCCCAAACAAAUAAUGUAAACCCAUCGUCUCAAAACAAAAAGUCUCCAUGAAAACAGAGCAAUUACAUUGACUACUAGAGAAGCAAAGAGCAAAUGAGAUUAAAAAAAAUUAACCUGUGUAUCUCGAAUUCCAGAACCAGCAGCCAACAAGACCACAAGAUGGAAACCUUUCAUCAAAAAGUUGCGAUACCACUUCCUCUGAAAUAGAAAGACUGGAGUCAUUUAGCACAUGCAUCCAAGACACAUAUUACAAGCAUAUGUACAUGCAUCUGUGUGUCUAUCUAGAAUUUUGUAAAACUUAACUGUAGCAAGAGCUUUCUCCUCGAGAUGAGCACGAGAACCAAAUGCUGAUACUUGCACAUCACCUAUUUUAAAAGCCACAUUCUUUAGUGCUGGAUCUCUGAUUGAAUUUUCUUCUCUAGCUACUGCAUGAAUCUGAGAGGAUACACGAGAUCAGGAUAUUUGUAAUAAACAGUUUCCAGAUUGUCUGAAAUUUCAAGAGCAGAAACUAAAGACAAACCUGAUUUUCAAGUUUUUCAAGGUCUGUGAUUUUAGUUGCACCAUCAGCAUCCAACAUGAGAAGUAGUUCACCACGCGAAUGCAUCAUUCCCUAUUUAAUGCUUUCAUAGAAUGUAGAAAGCAUUGGUUAUUUCUUUUUUUUUCCACCAUGAAAUGGUAAGUAAGAUAGAGUUGCAUGCGACUACUAGGAGUUGAACUCACAGUUCUUAUAGCUUCUCCUUUCCCUUGAUUCUUCCCAAGGGGUAUAAACCUUAUGUUGUCAACUGUAUACUUUUUGACGAAAUCAAAAGCUACUCUUUUUGUUCCAUCCACGCUUCCAUCAUCAACAAUCACCACCUACAAAAGAGAAAACAAUAUAAAACGGUGCAGAUUAAUUGAGUGAUUCAGUAUGAUAUCGACAUACUAGCAAGGUGAACUAAUUAAACCGACAAAAAACUUGAUAAGUUCAUUCAUAUUCACCAUCACAAAGGCCAUAUAUAUAGGUAGUGAAUCAACCUUAAUGGACUGAAGAAAGAUAAAACAAGAAACUAUUUACCUCAUAAGAAAAACUCUUAUCCCGUGAUGCACGACCUUGAAGGUAACUGCAAAUCAUAGGAGAAUUACAGUAAGCAUAAAUAUUAGACUUGUGUGGUUUUGCAAGAGAAGCAAACUUCUCACAAAUUGGAACUAAGUUCUGUCAAGAGGGAGUUUGUAAAGAAGUGAAAUUAAACUUAACUUACUCCAUUGUCUCCUCAAGAGCAGCAGGAAGUCUCUGCUCUUCGUUAAAAGCUGGAACAAUUAAUGAUAGAUACUUCUCCGCAGGGUCGGAGAUAUGAGGGCAGGGAACCUGAUGAUAGAAAAGCUGCUUAAAACCUACAUUCACAACCAGAGGAGACGCGAUUCUCUCUACAAACAGCUGAAUCUAAAAGCCUCACCACUCCAGACAGUGUAAAAAAAAGAGAGCUAAUUUCCGACACAUAACUGGUUAAACAAAACUCCUACAUAAUCUCAAAUUUCGACACAACUGCUUAGACCAAACUCCUACAUAAUCUCAAAGCUCUCUUCUUAAACACUCUACAGAAACAAAAUAACUGUCACAAUCAUUCUUAGCCACACACACACACACUAACAGUCAAUAACAGAUUCUUUAUAAAAUUCCGAAACGAUAAUAAAUCAGACGAGAUACCUGUUUUAAGGAUGUCGGAUCCUCGAGUGUAGUCACGGUCUCCACAGGACUGGUGAUUAUAUAUAAACAAAUCAAAAUCCAGGAUACGAUACAGUUAUAGAGGAAAUGGAGUGAGAAAACGUACACGUUACUGUGUCUCCUUCUCCAAGCUUCAAAGACGACGACGGAGAUGAAUCCCCAGAAGACGAUCAGCAACAGAGAGAGGCCAAGUUCCGCAACUGUUAACAGAGACUCCAUUGCCGGUGCUCCCUAGAUUUUCAGAUCUGUUUUGCUUCACGAGGGGGAGAGAGAGAGAGAGAGAAGAAGGGAGGUGGAAUGAAUCCGUGAAGAAUAAGCAAAGAAAGCUUAAAGUUUUUAUUGAUUUA
Molecule: long non-coding RNA, 4035 nt
Filed under: Brassica napus (rape)
Lineage: Eukaryota; Viridiplantae; Streptophyta; Magnoliopsida; Brassicales; Brassicaceae
Description: long non-coding RNA (BNAP_LNC013070)
Source: RNAcentral